ACCCGUAUAGUGUAAUAGGCUUAACGUAACAGUUUGCAAAACUGUGGAUCCAGGUUCAAUUCCUGGUACGGGCU
This 74-nucleotide transfer RNA is filed under the name bacterium. RNAcentral's name for it is "tRNA-Cys". It matches the Rfam family "tRNA". Rfam says of the family: Transfer RNA (tRNA) molecules are approximately 80 nucleotides in length. Their secondary structure includes four short double-helical elements and three loops (D, anti-codon, and T loops). The record is from RNAcentral.